RNAcentral lists this ribosomal RNA (429 nucleotides) under Bacteroidota bacterium. RNAcentral's name for it is "Bacteroidetes bacterium partial 16S ribosomal RNA". It matches the Rfam family "Bacterial small subunit ribosomal RNA", at positions 355 to 776 of the family's 1533-position model. Lineage: Bacteria; Pseudomonadati; Bacteroidota. The record is from RNAcentral.
UAGGGAAUCUUCGGCAAUGGGGGGAACCCUGACCGAGCAACGCCGCGUGAGUGAAGAAGGUUUUCGGAUCGUAAAGCUCUGUUGUUAAGGAAGAACGAGUGUGAGAAUGGAAAGUUCAUACUGUGACGGUACUUAACCAGAAAGGGACGGCUAACUACGUGCCAGCAGCCGCGGUAAUACGUAGGUCCCGAGUGUUGUCCGGAUUUAUUGGGCGUAAAGCGAGCGCAGGCGGUUAGAUAAGUCUGAAGUUAAAGGCAGUGGCUCAACCAUUGUAGGCUUUGGAAACUGUUUAACUUGAGUGCAGAAGGGGAGAGUGGAAUUCCAUGUGUAGCGGUGAAAUGCGUAGAUAUAUGGAGGAACACCGGUGGCGAAAGCGGCUCUCUGGUCUGUAACUGACGCUGAGGCUCGAAGGCGUGGGGAGCGAACAGG